UACGUAGGUGGCAAGCGUUAUCCGGAUUUAUUGGGUGUAAAGGGUGUGUAGGCGGGACGGCAAGUCAGAUGUGAAAACUAUGGGCUUAACCCAUAGCCUGCAUUUGAAACUGCUGUUCUUGAGAGUCGGAGAGGUAGAUGGAAUUCCUGGUGUAGCGGUGAAAUGCGUAGAUAUCAGGAGGAACACCGGUGGCGAAGGCGGUCUACUGGACGACAACUGACGCUGAGACACGAAAGCGUGGGGAGCAAAC
This 250-nucleotide ribosomal RNA is filed under the name uncultured prokaryote. RNAcentral's name for it is "partial 16S ribosomal RNA". It matches the Rfam family "Bacterial small subunit ribosomal RNA", at positions 524 to 773 of the family's 1533-position model. The record is from RNAcentral.